UGAGCACAGCCAUCAGAGGGAAGGUCUGGGGUGACUCAGCUGGAAUUCCUCUGAGGAGGUUUAUCACUGGUGGGCCAGUGACAACUGCAGCUACCUCCUGUUGGAUUGUUAACAACAGAAAAUAGAAGAGCAGGAAAAAGACAAGACAAGAGGUGGGAAGGAUUGGAUAAAAUCUCUCCUGGCCUCGUGCAGGCUCUGGCAAGGGGCAGCUCUCUGCACCUGCACACCCAGCUCGCAGCACAGGAGUCACGGGGAGAGCAGAGCAGAGCUUCCUGCUGAUCAUCUCCAGCGUGCCAGGGGACGUGGGAGCGUCAUUCAAAUUCGGAAGGUUGAUGAGUGGAACAGAGAAGGAAACACCACGCAGUCCGGCACUGAACGCUCAGCUUUAGGAGCAGCUGCAGCUCAAAUGGCCUGAAUUUGCUGUAUAACCUUCAUCUUGCUGGGAAAAAGCCAUUUCCAAAGCCAUCCACCUUGUGCCAGCUGUCACUCACAAGGUGCUGCUUGUUCCCAAAUGCCUGUCACCUUCCCUGACACCAGGGGUGAGCUUUGUCCAGGCAGAGAUGGGCAGAUCCCGUGGAUUAUCCCACACCUUGGCUCUGUCUCUGCUCUGGCAGCCAGUGUUUCAUGGGCAGGAGUCUUCCCAUGCCCAGGACACCAGAGCUCUCUCCUUCCAGGAAAGGGGCCAUGAAUUAAUUCAACAAUCCCAGCCCUUCUCAGCAGACCCAGCAGAGAAGGCAGCUGAGCAAUGAGCAGCUCCAUUCCUGUUCACAAGCCUUUUCCAAAGGGCUCAUGAAUAAAAAGCACCAUCAGUCUCAAAGCAAAGCAUCUUCUCAGUGCA
Molecule: long non-coding RNA, 838 nt
Organism: Vidua chalybeata
Lineage: Eukaryota; Metazoa; Chordata; Aves; Passeriformes; Viduidae
Exons: 3
Source: RefSeq, a predicted model, not a curated record